UACGAAGGGGGCUAGCGUUGCUCGGAAUUACUGGGCGUAAAGCGCACGUAGGCGGAUUGUUAAGUCGGGGGUGAAAUCCUGGAGCUCAACUCCAGAACUGCCUUCGAUACUGGCGAUCUAGAGUCCGGGAGAGGUGAGUGGAACUGCGAGUGUAGAGGUGAAAUUCGUAGAUAUUCGCAAGAACACCAGUGGCGAAGGCGGCUUACUGGCCCGGUACUGACGCUGAGGCACGAAAGCGUGGGGAGCAAACAGG
Molecule: ribosomal RNA, 253 nt
Filed under: uncultured bacterium
Lineage: Bacteria
Description: partial 16S ribosomal RNA
Rfam family: Bacterial small subunit ribosomal RNA
Source: RNAcentral